AAAUGCGAUAAGUAAUGUGAAUUGCAGAAUUCAGUGAAUCAUCGAAUCUUUGAACGCACAUUGCGCCCCCUGGUAUUCCGGGGGGCAUGCCUGUUCGAGCAUCAUUUCACCACUCAAGCCUCGCUUGGUAUUGGGCGACGCGGUCCGCCGCGCGCCUCAAAUCGACCGGCUGGGUCUUUCGUCCCCUCAGCGUUGUGGAAACUAUUCGCUAAAGGGUGCCGCGGGAGGCCACGCCGUAAAACAACCCCAUUUCUAAGGUUGACCUCGGAUCAGGUAGGGAUACCCGCUGAACUUAAGC
RNAcentral lists this unclassified non-coding RNA (298 nucleotides) under plant metagenome. RNAcentral describes it as "partial contains 5.8S ribosomal RNA, internal transcribed spacer 2, and large subunit ribosomal RNA". The stretch from base 1 to 104 matches the Rfam family "5.8S ribosomal RNA", at positions 51 to 154 of the family's 154-position model. The record is from RNAcentral.